Molecule: long non-coding RNA, 396 nt
Organism: Saccostrea echinata
Lineage: Eukaryota; Metazoa; Mollusca; Bivalvia; Ostreida; Ostreidae
Exons: 3
Source: RefSeq, a predicted model, not a curated record
CUGACGGAUUCUUUGGAGAAAACUGUGUCAACAGCUGUAACAAUACAUGUUAUGGUUGUAACAGAACGAAUGGUGUAUGCGAUACAGGAUGUUAUCCUGGUUGGAAAGGAGAAUUCUGUCAUAAUGAAUGCGAUGGCGGAUUUUAUGGAAUUAACUGCAGCAUGCUUUGUGGAUACUGCAUAAAUUUAGAACAAUGUCAUCCAAUUAACGGAACAUGCAUAAAUGGUUGUAAUGAAGGAAAUGAAGGGACUUUUUGCAAUAAAACAUGCAAAAUUGGAAGAUUUGGGCGAAACUGUCUGGAGAUGUGUAACAAAACAUGUUAUGGAUCUACAUGUAACAGAACAAAUGGUCUUUGUGACAACGGAUGUCAGCCAGGAUGGAAGGGAGAUUAUUGUC